GAUCACUUGAGCCCAGGAGUUUGAGACCAGUCUGGGCUAUGUAGGGAGACCUCGUUUCUACAGAAAAAAAUUUUUUAAUUAGCUGGGCAAGGUGGUGUACGCCUGUAGUCCCAGCUACUCAAGAGGCUGAGAUGGGAGGAUUUGCUUGUGCCUGCGAGUUUGAGGCUGCAGUGAGCCAUGAUGGCGCCACUGUACUCCAGCCUGGGUGACAGAGUGAGACUGUGUCUCAAAGAAAAAAUGGCUAGGCGCUGUGGCUCACGUCUGUAAUCCCAGCACUUUGGGAGGCUGAGGAAGUCCUUGUUCCUGAAGCCUCAGAAUUUGAUGAGUGGGAGCCUGAAGGCACAACCCUAGAAGGCCCUGUGACUGCCGUCAUCCCCACUUGGCAGGCAUUGACCACGCUUGACCUGAGCCACAACAGCAUCUCCGAGAUCGACGAGUCUGUGAAACUGAUCCCAAAGAUUGAGUUCCUGGACCUGAGUCACAAUGGAUUGCUGGUUGUGGACAAUCUGCAGCACCUGUAUAACCUUGUGCAUCUGGACCUGUCCUACAACAAGCUCUCCUCCUUGGAAGGGCUUCACACCAAGCUGGGGAACAUCAAGACCUUAAACCUGGCAGGCAACCUCCUAGAGAGUCUGAGUGGCCUGCACAAGCUCUACUCACUGGUCAACCUGGAUCUCCGGGACAACAGGAUCGAACAGAUGGAGGAGGUCCGGAGCAUAGGCAGCCUCCCGUGUCUGGAGCAUGUGUCUCUGCUGAACAACCCUCUGAGCAUCAUCCCCGACUACCGGACCAAGGUGCUGGCUCAGUUCGGAGAGAGGGCCUCAGAGGUGAGC
Molecule: small RNA, 833 nt
Filed under: Pan troglodytes (chimpanzee)
Lineage: Eukaryota; Metazoa; Chordata; Mammalia; Primates; Hominidae
Description: processed transcript
Source: RNAcentral